UGUUUUGAUCCCUGCCCUCUGCUUCCUGCUCUCAGGGGUAGCCAGGCUUGUGUGUCCAUAUCAAAUGGGAGCCACCACCAGAAGCUGAUGAGGCCACCUGUUGCAGGAAGAGGAGGAUAACAAAGCACAGGUUCCACAGGCAUCCAGCUGUCACCUAUGACUACACAGAGCAGUAUCAGACACCUUCCCUGCCCUGCACUCUCCUGUGGUGUGCUGUACCCAUGAAAGAGCUCACUGUUCCAGUGUUACAAGUGAGGCCUUAUACAAUGGGCUGCUCUGCUCCCACGUGAUGGGAGACAGCCACGGGGCAGCUGAGAUCCCUGGGAUGAAGGAGUCCAUCUUCAGCCAUGUCCAGGUAAGGGAGCCACUCAAAGUCUUGGGUUUAUGCUUGGUGCACAGAUCACACUCCAUACCCAAACUCUCCCUGCAAAAGGUUUUCUGAUGCGUUUAUUUCAGCAGCAGAAUUCAAUACAAUUUAUUAUUUUCUUUGGGACAUUUGUAGAACAGCAAGAACAGAAAGAGGGAAGCCUUAACUUAUUCAUGCCCCAUUUUCCUUGUUUGCAACUACAAAAUGAAGUUUAAAACAAAAUACACCCCUGCUUGGGAAAAUCAGAUAAACUCUUUAAGAAAACCCAACUUCACACUUACUAACAAAAUUUGGCCGCAGUAUCAAAAGUCAGACUGAUAUUGGAAUGUAGCAUGAUCCCCAUAUUCACCGACACAUUUAUUUUCCAUCAGACCAGAUUUCUUUUGACAGCAUCAUAACAUUACGUAGACGUACUUCUUUCUAUAAAAAGCAGCAACAACUAGAAGUGACAAAUUAUAUCUGGUAUGCAAUCACAUUAUCUCUCUGUGAUGCAAAGGUGCUGAUUAAAAAAAAUAAUUCAGUCAUUCAAGGAGUGUCAUAGAUCUAAUUGCAUUUCACAGGAACUAAGCCCUUAUUUAGACUAUCUACCACUUGUAGAAUAUUUCCAGAACCACUCCUUCUGCCUUGGUUUUAAAUAUAAUUAUUACUAUGCAUACCAUACUAUGCAUCUUCUUGGUGGUGAUGAAAUGAGCGCUGAUCCACACAAAGUAUGCCUUAUCUCAAAAAAGAAGAAGGUUCAAGCUCAAUUUUCAAAGCUCUUUUCAAAUUCUUUCCUGAAAAAUCUCAGUCUUUCAAUUAUGUUACAAAAUGAAACAACU
Passer domesticus (house sparrow) is the source of this 1185-nucleotide long non-coding RNA. RefSeq lists it as uncharacterized. Lineage: Eukaryota; Metazoa; Chordata; Aves; Passeriformes; Passeridae. The record is from RefSeq and is a predicted model, not a curated record. The transcript is spliced from 3 exons.